GGGCGGCGGGAGCAGAAGGACUGGUUGAGGAUGGACUCCACCUCUGAAAACGGCCGCAGGAACACCAGGUCCUCAUUGAUGGAGUAGAUCUUCCUCCCCACCUGCAGGCCAGCCACCUGGGUAGGGACGGCAGAGGACAGACGUGCACACCAGUUACUAAGCUCCUUCCCUCCUCACCAAGGAAGCUCAAAUGUGUUCAGCAGAAGGGUGCUGGCCCAAGGGAUCCAGCAGGACUGGGUGACUGCGUGCUGUCUGUGGGCCUGGCGAAGAAAGAUGAAGACCUGCUGACCCGAACCAAGAUUCACAACUGCCUCCUUCCAACCGCUCACAUCACUGGCAAGGUCAACCUAGCCGCUCCGGCCAUGGGUAUGUCGCUCCUUGCAGCCCAAAGCAUUCCUAAUUGCCACAGGGGCAAGCUGGGCUCCAGCCAGCACGGCAGGUGCAUCUCCCCCACCCACCUGCACACGCCCCAGGCAAAGCCGGAAGGCCCCAGGGCUGAAUCCUCGGCCAGCCACACCCUCACUCUCCUAACCUAUCCUCCUGUAGGCUUUGCAUCAGACAGCAAUGAGCUUAUCUUAUUCAAGCCACUGUGACUGGUUGCAGAAAACUGAGACACCUGCUUUUUUCCUGUACCUCCCCACAAUGUCCAGCAGAGGGCAGUGGUGGAACACACCAGGAGCACAGCCCCGGGACUCUGCACUCACUCCCAGCUACUGUAGCCACUGCAGACAGUGGGUCCUGGACUCAGUUUCUCCACGUGAGCAAUGAGAGAAGAGGAGUCAGCGAUCAUUCCAGAAUCUCCUGGGCUGGGCUGCCUCAAGGAGGGUGAAGAGAGACACCCCGCUCUGCCACCUGCACACGGUCCCUGCCAGCUCCCCCGAGGGCCUCACCUCAGCCAGCGAGCCCCUCUGGACGGACUUCACCACCACAGCCUUGUUCUUCUCCUCGAUGUCAAAGCCAUAGUCCUCCUCCUGGGGCAGGAUCUGGGGGCCCAGGGCAGAAGGAACCCGGUCAGGGAGCGAGGUGGGCCUACGGCCAGCCCCACCGUGGCCCCCACAGGACCAUGACCUCGUCCCAGGUCUAGUAGGGAAGUGGCCAGAUCCAGGUGGGCGAGACAGAGCAAAACGCAAACAGCACCUGGCAGAGCCAGUGCUCACUCUGUGCCUGCCACUGGCUUAACGAAUCACACGGAUCCAAAGGUGUCCAGCCACCAAGAAUGUGGAGUCAGGGAGUUUAGGGAGGAGCGGUCCCACCCCAGGGCAGGAUGGCAGGCAUGCUAGAAACAGGUCUGGGGGUUCCCCAGUGCGGGGGAUACAGGGAAAGGCACUCAUUCAGUCAACAGACAUUGAUUGAGAUGCUGCCCAUCACACGGGCCAGGCAGUUCUCAUGGGUGCUGGAGACACCAUCUAGAACAAGACAAACAAGCCCAGCCCUGCUUAGUGCGGGAGGCCAACUAUAAACAAAUAAACAAAAGAAAUACAGGAUGUGAUGCAGGGAGUGUACGUAGUUGGAAUUAAAGCACUUAAUGGGAUAGGGCACGGCAAGGGGGCAGAGAAGGUGCUAUCGGAGCUGAGGCCUGAACGAAAUGAAAAACAAAACUUCAUAAAGAGUGGAGGAACAUGCUCCAGGCAGCAGACACAGCACGUACAAAGGUCCUGAGGGAGGCCCCAAGGCACUGGAGGAUAAGAAAAGAGAUCAGGAGGUCAGGCGCAAUGGCUCACGCUUGUAAUCCCAGCACUUUGGGAGGCCGAGACGGGUUGAUCGCUUGAUCCCAGGAGUUCAAGACCAGCCUGGGCAACAUAGCAAAACCCUGUCUUUAUAAAAAAUACAAAAAUUAGCUGGGUGUGGUGGCGCAGGUCUGUUGUCCUAGCCAC
Homo sapiens (human) is the source of this 1874-nucleotide long non-coding RNA. The record is from Ensembl. NCBI's taxonomy places the organism in Eukaryota, Metazoa, Chordata, Mammalia, Primates, Hominidae.